RNAcentral lists this transfer RNA (83 nucleotides) under Gemmatimonadota bacterium. Its description in RNAcentral is "Gemmatimonadetes bacterium tRNA-OTHER". Lineage: Bacteria; Pseudomonadati; Gemmatimonadota. The record is from RNAcentral.
GGAGGGCUACACCUUAGUGGCAGGCAGCCGUCUUGAAAACCGCCGGGGGAAACCCCUUCCGGGUUCGAGUCCCGGGCCCUCCG